AGUGAACGCUGGCGGUAGGCCUAACACAUGCAAGUCGAACGGCAGCACAGGAGAGCUUGCUCUCUGGGUGGCGAGUGGCGGACGGGUGAGGAAUACAUCGGAAUCUACUCUGUCGUGGGGGAUAACGUAGGGAAACUUACGCUAAUACCGCAUACGACCUACGGGUGAAAGCAGGGGACCUUCGGGCCUUGCGCGAUUGAAUGAGCCGAUGUCGGAUUAGCUAGUUGGCGGGGUAAAGGCCCACCAAGGCGACGAUCCGUAGCUGGUCUGAGAGGAUGAGCAGCCACACUGGAACUGAGACACGGUCCAGACUCCUACGGGAGGCAGCAGUGGGGAAUAUUGGACAAUGGGCGCAAGCCUGAUUCAGCCAUACCGCGUGGGUGAAGAAGGCCUUCGGGUUGUAAAGCCCUUUUGUUGGGAAAGAAAUCCAGCUGGCUAAUACCCGGUUGGGAUGACGGUACCCAAAGAAUAAGCACCGGCUAACUUCGUGCCAGCCGCCACCGUAA
This 506-nucleotide ribosomal RNA is filed under the name uncultured bacterium. RNAcentral describes it as "partial 16S ribosomal RNA". It matches the Rfam family "Bacterial small subunit ribosomal RNA", at positions 29 to 523 of the family's 1533-position model. The record is from RNAcentral.